GACGAACGAGGGAGGAGGGGGGAACACAUGCAAGUCGAGCGCUGAAGGUUGGUACUUGUACCGACUGGAUGAGCAGCGAACGGGUGAGUAACGCGUGGGGAAUCUGCCUUUGAUCGGGGGACAACAUUUGGAAACGAAUGCUAAUACCGCAUAAAAACUUUAAACACAAGUUUUAAGUUUGAAAGAUGCAAUUUCAUCACUCAAUGAUGAUCCCGCGUUUUGUUAGCUAGUUGGUGAGGUAAAGGCUCACCAAGGUGGUGAUACAUAGCCUACCUGAGAGGGUGGUCGGCCAGCGUGGGACUGAGACACGGCACAAUCACCUACAGGAGGCAGCAAGAGGGCAUCUUCGGCAAUGGGCGGAAGUCUGACCGAACGACGCCGCGUGAGGGGAGAAGGAUGUCGGGUCGGAAAAGUCGGUUGGUAGAGAAGAACGUUGGUGAGAGUGGAAAGCUCAUCAAGUGACGGUAACUAGCAAGGAAGAAUCGGCUUUCUACGUU
Molecule: ribosomal RNA, 497 nt
Filed under: uncultured bacterium
Lineage: Bacteria
Description: partial 16S ribosomal RNA
Rfam family: Bacterial small subunit ribosomal RNA
Source: RNAcentral